RNAcentral lists this unclassified non-coding RNA (254 nucleotides) under uncultured bacterium. Its description in RNAcentral is "contains 16S-23S intergenic spacer region". It matches the Rfam family "Bacterial small subunit ribosomal RNA", at positions 524 to 776 of the family's 1533-position model. The record is from RNAcentral.
UACGAAGGGGGCUAGCGUUGUUCGGAAUUAUUGGGCGUAAAGUGUUUCGGAGGCGUCUUUGUAAGUUACUUUUCAAAGCCCGGGGCUUAACUCCGGACAGGGAAGUAAUACUGCAAAGAUUGAGAUGUACUGGGGCAACUGGAAUUGUCGGUGUAGGGGUGAAAUCCGUUGAUAUCGACAAGAACUCCGAAGGCGAAGGCGGGUUGCUAAGUAUUUUCUGACGCUGAGGAACGAAAGCUAGGGGAGCGAAACGG